AUGACGACGGCGGCCCCUCUUUUAUCGUUGACGGAUGCGGCGACGGUGACGGCGGCGCUAGCCCCCGGCAGAGCGCCCACCAGAGCCCGCAUUCAGGCCGCCCCCCGCCACCACGCCACCGUCUCGCUGAGAUGCCACCGCGCUCGGCCCCUAACCGCGGCCGCCGCCACGGGCGACUCGCCGUCGUCCGCCGCGUUCCACGGCGAGUGCUUCGUCGUCGGGGACAACAUCGACACCGACCAGAUCAUCCCGGCCGAGCACCUGACCCUGGUGCCGUCCAAGCCCGACGAGUACCGCAAGCUUGGCUCCUUCGCCUUCGUGGGCCUCCCCUCCGCGGCCUACCCGAUUCCCUUCGUGGCCCCAGGCGAGGAGUCGUCCCGCUACGCCGUCAUCAUCGGCGGCGCCAACUUCGGGUGCGGCUCCUCCCGCGAGCACGCGCCCGUCGCGCUCGGAGCCGCCGGCGCGCGCGCAGUUGUGGCCGAGGGCUACGCCCGCAUCUUCUUCCGCAAUUCCGUGGCUACAGGGGAGGUGUACCCCCUGGAGCUCGCGGACAGCGGUGCCAGCAAGGAGUGCAAGACCGGGGAUGUGGUCACAGUGGACCUCGAUAACUCGGUCUUGAUUAACCACACAUCCGGCAAGCAGUACAAGCUGAAGCCUAUUGGUGAUGCAGGCCCGGUUAUUGAGGCCGGGGGGAUCUUCGCUUAUGCUCGGAAGACUGGAAUGAUUGCGUCCAAAUCUGCGUGA
This 744-nucleotide ribosomal RNA is filed under the name Triticum aestivum (bread wheat). RNAcentral describes it as "partial small subunit ribosomal RNA". The record is from RNAcentral. Lineage: Eukaryota; Viridiplantae; Streptophyta; Magnoliopsida; Poales; Poaceae.